UUAUAUUCUCCGCUGGGGGGGAUGAGAACCCCCGACCGGGGUUCGACAACUGGCAACGCCAGUUGGACAGACCGCGAGCCUGCGAGCGGGCUGCCCCGAAGGGGCGAGCGAAGCGAGUCAAUCCCCCCUCACCGCCA
RNAcentral lists this small RNA (137 nucleotides) under Klebsiella quasipneumoniae. RNAcentral describes it as "RtT sRNA". It matches the Rfam family "RtT RNA". From Rfam's summary of the family: This family represents a bacterial cis-regulatory element known as RtT RNA. The exact function of RtT is unknown although it is thought that it may be involved in changing the cellular response in relation to amino acid starvation. Lineage: Bacteria; Pseudomonadati; Pseudomonadota; Gammaproteobacteria; Enterobacterales; Enterobacteriaceae. The record is from RNAcentral.